Molecule: long non-coding RNA, 289 nt
Organism: Thamnophis elegans (Western terrestrial garter snake)
Lineage: Eukaryota; Metazoa; Chordata; Lepidosauria; Squamata; Natricidae
Exons: 3
Source: RefSeq, a predicted model, not a curated record
UAAGCGUCCCCUUUGGACUCUCCUGCGCGAUCGGCGGCGCUCUUGGGCCGGCGUCCGAGACAAAGGCGGCCUCGGCGGGCCCUGGAGGCCGCUCAGCCUCUUCCUCCCCGCUGCCCAUGGCUUCUUCCAGCCGCCCAGCCAGCCGGCUCUCCUCUCCCGUCCUCUGGGCGGCCGCCAUCGGGGCGCAGGCUCUGCCUUCCUUUUGUGAGAUCCUCUGCACCGGCCACCAAGAAUGUUCCGAACAAGGCACCAGCUGGACAAGCCUGUGGUACGUUUGGUAAGCUGCAUU